This 921-nucleotide ribosomal RNA is filed under the name Prorocentrum sp. NC-2018a. Its description in RNAcentral is "partial large subunit ribosomal RNA". It matches the Rfam family "Eukaryotic large subunit ribosomal RNA", at positions 72 to 919 of the family's 3401-position model. The record is from RNAcentral. Lineage: Eukaryota; Dinophyceae; Prorocentrales; Prorocentraceae.
GGGAUCCCUCAGUAAUGGCGAAUGAAGAGGGAGUAGCUCAACGUGGAAAUUGGGGCCCCCGGCCUUGAAUUGUAGUCUGGAGAUGCACUGCCAACGGAGGCGCAGAUGUAAACCUCUUGGAAGAGAGCAUCAGCGAGGGUGAGAGUCCUAUUUGUCAUCUGCAGUCCCCCAUGCACGGCGUGCCUUCGAAGAGUCACGUUCCUCGGAACUGGAGCGCAAAGUGGGUGGUAACUUUCAUCUCAAGCUAAAUAUGGGUUCGAGACCGAUAGCAAACAAGUACCAUGAGGGAAAGGUGAAAAGGACUUUGAAAAGAGAGUUACAAGUGCCUGAAAUUGCUGAAAGCAAAGCGAAGGGAACUAGUGCUGCUUGGCAAAAUCUUCCGCGCGCUAUCGCGAUGGCUUGCUGGUUCAACGCAAGUGUGGAAGCGAGUUCUGACUGGGCCGCGCGCGGCGUUUCUUGCCCUGCGCGUCAACGCCAGCUCACAAACGAGGAGCGCUCCAGGUGCAGGGCAAUCUGCCCCCGGGCAGACGAACGUGCCUGGUAAAACUCAUUUGUGCACUGACUCGUGGCUGUCUGGUUGCAGCGCUCUGUGUCAGCUCAGAGUAGCUCCGGCAACUGAGGCGCAUCCCUGACGCAAACGAGGACCAAGUGGUUCUAUUCGACCCGUCUUGAAACACGGACCAAGGAGUCUAACAUAUCUGCGAGCUUAUGGGCGGGUAAACCUGCGUGCGCAAUGAAAGUGACUGCUGGGACUCAUGCACCAGCGCCCGACUAAUCAAUUGAGAGAGGUUUGAGUGUGAGCACAUAUGUUAGCACCCGAAAGAUGGUGAACUAUGCCUGAGAAGGGCAAACUCAGGGGAAACUCUGAUGGAGGCUCGUAGCGAUACUGACCGUGCAAAUCGUUCGUCAUACUUGGGUAUA